This 477-nucleotide ribosomal RNA is filed under the name uncultured organism. Its description in RNAcentral is "partial 16S ribosomal RNA". It matches the Rfam family "Bacterial small subunit ribosomal RNA", at positions 331 to 799 of the family's 1533-position model. The record is from RNAcentral.
GUACACUCCUACGGGAGGCAGCAGUGGGGAAUUUUGGACAAUGGGCGAAAGCCUGAUCCAGCAAUGCCGCGUGAGUGAAGAAGGCCUUCGGGUUGUAAAGCUCUUUUGUCAGGGAAGAAACGGUGAAAGCUAAUAUCUUUUGCUAAUGACGGUACCUGAAGAAUAAGCACCGGCUAACUACGUGCCAGCAGCCGCGGUAAUACGUAGGGUGCAAGCGUUAAUCGGAAUUACUGGGCGUAAAGCGUGCGCAGGCGGUUUUGUAAGUCUGAUGUGAAAUCCCCGGGCUCAACCUGGGAAUUGCAUUGGAGACUGCAAGGCUAGAAUCUGGCAGAGGGGGGUAGAAUUCCACGUGUAGCAGUGAAAUGCGUAGAUAUGUGGAGGAACACCGAUGGCGAAGGCAGCCCCCUGGGUCAAGAUUGACGCUCAUGCACGAAAGCGUGGGGAGCAAACAGGAUUAGAUACCCGUGUAGUCCCAUG